UUUCCGUAGGUGAACCUGCGGAGGGAUCAUUACUGAGUGAGGGCUCACGCCCGACCUCCAACCCUUUGUGAACACAUCUUGUUGCUUCUGGGGCGACCCUGCCGGCACUCUGUCGCCGGGCGCCACCGAAGGCCUCCAAACACUGCAUCUUUGCGUCGGAGUUUAAAACAAAUUAAACAAAACUUUCAACGACGGAUCUCUUGGUGCUGGCAUCGAUGAAGAACGCAGC
Molecule: unclassified non-coding RNA, 229 nt
Filed under: uncultured fungus
Lineage: Eukaryota; Fungi
Description: sequence contains ITS1, 5.8S rRNA gene
Rfam family: 5.8S ribosomal RNA (bases 181-229)
Source: RNAcentral